CUUUGUUCUUAUAACAAACUAAUUACUAGAUUUUUCCACAUUGCUUCGACCUUCUCACAUCUGCUGGGGUAUUUUUUGUUUGUUUUUUUGAGGCAAAUAAAGAAAUACUUAAAUAUAGGAAUGAAACUGGACAUUGUCUUUAAUUCAAAAGGAAGAAUGUUUCAGAUGUAGCUAAUAAUGGCUGCUUCCAUCAGUGCAUGUGUUUUGUUUCCCCGUGGAUUAUGUUAAUUGGGUGUGGCACAGCUCUGCUUUCCUUGCAAUGCUCACAAAAAGAUGGGAAAACACAUUAGGUUUUAGGUUGAGGACUAGAAUGACAUCCUUCUCCUUCACAGUCAGUGCUUUAUAGUGUAAGUCACACCACCUCUUGAUCAAGUCAAUAAAUCUCCUGCAGUGCAGAGACACCCCGGGUAACAUCUGAGACAGUACCAGGGACGGAAGUGAAAUAGGCAUGGAAGUGGGCUCUGCACCUGAGUACCAAGCUCUGCCUGAGGAGGUUUAUUUGCUGAAGAGAAGUGCUGCACUAACACUUUUGGACCAAGGGAUGCUGAAGUUCACCCUGGUAUUAUAGAAUAUAUCUUUGGCAGUGAAUCCCUAAGCUGAGUUACAUGCCUUGUCUGGACUGCUCUAAGGUUUGUUUCUUUUUUCGUAGCAAGCAUUAGACAGAAUUUCAGUCAAUGACAGUGUUUGGUCAGGUGACUGCUGCAAAGUUUGCUUCAGAGAGUGAGGACAACAAAUGAUGUCUGAGCUGGUUCAUUGCCUUUACAGUGGGUGCAGAAGGACUGACUCUGUUGUGGUGUGCAGUUGUCCUGGCCAUCCUUGGGGGAUGGUCCAGUGAUGGUUGUCUUAAUAGCUG
Molecule: long non-coding RNA, 853 nt
Filed under: Parus major (Great Tit)
Lineage: Eukaryota; Metazoa; Chordata; Aves; Passeriformes; Paridae
Description: lncRNA (ENSPMJG00000010240.1)
Source: RNAcentral